AACGAACGCUGGCGGCGUGGAUAAGGCAUGCAAGUCGAGCGCGAAAGUCCCCUUCGGGGGAUGAGUAGAGCGGCAAACGGGUGAGUAACACGUGAGUAACCUGUCCUUGGGUGGGGGAUAACCCCGGGAAACCGGGGCUAAUACCGCAUGAUGUUGUUCCCACACAAGUGAGAAUAACCAAAGGGGGGGACCUUCGGGCCUCCCGCCUGAGGAGGGGCUCGCGCCUGAUUAGCUAGUUGGUGGGGUAACGGCUCACCAAGGCGAUGAUCAGUAGCCGGUCUGAGAGGAUGGCUGGCCACACUGGGAUUGAGAUACGGCCCAGACUCCUACGGGAGGCAGCAGUCUAGAAGCUUCGGCAAUGGGCGAAAGCCUGACCGAGCGACGCCGCGUGCAGGACGAAGGUCUUCGGAUUGUAAACUGCUUUCGACGGGGAUGAAAGGUAAGAGGGCGAAUACCCCCUUAAUUUGACAGUACCCGCAGAAGAAGCCCUGGCUAACUCCGUGCCAGCAGCCGCGGUAAAAUAGCGUA
Molecule: ribosomal RNA, 528 nt
Filed under: uncultured bacterium
Lineage: Bacteria
Description: bacterial SSU rRNA
Rfam family: Bacterial small subunit ribosomal RNA
Source: RNAcentral